AAUAGGUGGAAGGCAUUCAGAGAAAAGUUCAGUAAAGUCUGAAGGAUCCUUUUCAGUUCAAGAUGAAAAUGUGGUGCUAGACACUGAAAGACUACAGGUGAAAAGAAUGAGAAAAAGAUAGAAGACUUAUGACUAAAUAAAGGUUAGGUAAUGGUUUUCAUUCUAGAACCCACCCAGCCCUCGACAAUACUACGUGAUUAACAAGUUUUGUUGAGGAAACAGCAUGAUCCUCAGUGUUUCUCACGGAUUCCUAAAUGAUGACUUUCUCCACUUCACGUAGAUCAAACAGCUUGUGGCAGCAGGUCACCAUAGCCACCAGGACUGGCCCGAGAGAAGUUGACAAUGGCAUGGGCAUGGUCGAUUUAAAUACUGACCUUUGUGUGCUAAAGUGUGAAGAGACUUUUAAUGCCAACACAACUCAUACAAGGUUGACAGAGAUGACAAUUCUGCCAAAUAGUUGAGUGUGCACUUGAUAUACAGGGUAUCACACAGAAAUCUGAAGGGACCACAAAUGCACAGCUGUACGAAUCUCCACUGUGUUGUAAAGAAAUGACCUAAAUUCUAUCCUUUUUAUUGGUCGACACUUUUCGAAAUACAUUAUGUGCAUAUGUUUUCACGGCAUACGCCUUGUUUUUUUCCCUCGCCAUGUGUUUUUACUUAUGGAGUAGACCAGACCAGAGCCCAUACCUUGGCAGGAAACAAGAGCACAAACAAUUGUAUCUGAGCCAGCUAUUUGGCUGUGCUCCCUGGUAAUGCUGAUUUUCAGUUCUGUUCAUGCGCAUAAUUCCAGUCACCCAGUCUGUUAUUCCACAAGUAGUCUUUUGUCUCCGUGUUACCCAGAAUGCCACACUUCAAAAGGAGGUGGCAAAUUCUUCUCCUUCCCCUGAGAUGCAUUAAGAUGAAUGUUCAUUAAGGUGAAGGUUCAUUAAGGUGAAUGUUCAUUAAGGUGAAUGUUCAUUAAGGUGAAUGUUCAUUAAGGUGAAUGUUCAUUAAGGUGAAUGUUCAUUAAG
Molecule: long non-coding RNA, 1010 nt
Organism: Clupea harengus (Atlantic herring)
Lineage: Eukaryota; Metazoa; Chordata; Actinopteri; Clupeiformes; Clupeidae
Source: Ensembl